AGGAAUCUGCCUAUUAGUGGGGGACAACAUCUCGAAAGGGAUGCUAAUACCGCAUACGUCCUACGGGAGAAAGCAGGGGACCUUCGGGCCUUGCGCUAAUAGAUGAGCCUAAGUCGGAUUAGCUAGUUGGUGGGGUAAAGGCCUACCAAGGCGACGAUCUGUAGCGGGUCUGAGAGGAUGAUCCGCCACACUGGGACUGAGACACGGCCCAGACUCCUACGGGAGGCAGCAGUGGGGAAUAUUGGACAAUGGGGGGAACCCUGAUCCAGCCAUGCCGCGUGUGUGAAGAAGGCCUUUUGGUUGUGAAGCACUUUAAGCGAGGAGGAGGCUACCGAGAUUAAUACUCUUGGAUAGUGGACGUUACUCGCAGAAUAAGCACCGGCUAACUCUGUGCCAGCAGCCGCGGUAAUACAGAGGGUGCAAGCGUUAAUCGGAUUUACUGGGCGUAAAGCGCGCGUAGGUGGCCAAUUAAGUCAAAUGUGAAAUCCCCGAGCUUAACUUGGGAAUUGCAUUCGAUACUGGUUGGCUAGAGUAUGGGAGAGGAUGGUAGAAUUCCAGGU
This 560-nucleotide ribosomal RNA is filed under the name uncultured bacterium. Its description in RNAcentral is "bacterial SSU rRNA". It matches the Rfam family "Bacterial small subunit ribosomal RNA", at positions 119 to 674 of the family's 1533-position model. The record is from RNAcentral.